CAAAUACUCCCUCCGUCUGGAAAUACUUGUCAUCAAAAUGGAUAAAAGGAAAUGUAUCUAGACGUAUUUUAGUUUUAGAUACAUCUCUUUUUAUCCAUUUUGAUGACAAGUAUUUUUGGACGGAGGGAGUAGAAA
Triticum urartu is the source of this 135-nucleotide non-coding RNA. NCBI's taxonomy places the organism in Eukaryota, Viridiplantae, Streptophyta, Magnoliopsida, Poales, Poaceae. The record is from Rfam.